UAGUCCACGCCGUAAACGAUGGUCACUAGCUGUUCGGACUUCGGUCUGAGUGGCUAAGCGAAAGUGAUAAGUGACCCACCUGGGGAGUACGUUCGCAAGAAUGAAACUCAAAGGAAUUGACGGGGGCCCGCACAAGCGGUGGAGCAUGUGGUUUAAUUCGAUGAUACGCGAGGAACCUUACCAGGGCUUAAAUGUAAGUUGCAUUAGCUAGAGAUAGCUAUUUCUUCGGACCACUUACAAGGUGCUGCAUGGUUGUCGUCAGCUCGUGCCGUGAGGUGUCAGGUUAAGUCCUAUAACGAGCGCAACCCCUGUUGUUAGUUGCCAGCGAGUCAAGUCGGGAACUCUAACAAGACUGCCAGUGCAAACUGUGAGGAAGGUGGGGACGACGUCAAAUCAUCAUGGCCUUUAUGCCUAGGGCUACACACGUGCUACAAUGGCAGGUACAGAGGGUUGCGAAGGGGUGACCUGGAGCUAAUCUCAGAAAGCCUGUCCCAGUUCGGAUUGG
Molecule: ribosomal RNA, 505 nt
Filed under: uncultured bacterium
Lineage: Bacteria
Description: bacterial SSU rRNA
Rfam family: Bacterial small subunit ribosomal RNA
Source: RNAcentral